AAUAGAUACCCGGGUAGUCCACGCCGUAAACGAUGAGUGCUAAGUGUUAGAGGGUUUCCGCCCUUUAGUGCUGAAGUUAACGCAUUAAGCACUCCGCCUGGGGAGUACGGCCGCAAGGCUGAAACUCAAAGGAAUUGACGGGGGCCCGCACAAGCGGUGGAGCAUGUGGUUUAAUUCGAAGCAACGCGAAGAACCUUACCAGGUCUUGACAUCCUCUGACAACCCUAGAGAUAGGGCUUCUCCUUCGGGAGCAGAGUGACAGGUGGUGCAUGGUUGUCGUCAGCUCGUGUCGUGAGAUGUUGGGUUAAGUCCCGCAACGAGCGCAACCCUUGAUCUUAGUUGCCAUCAUUAAGUUGGGCACUCUAAGGUGACUGCCGGUGACAAACCGGAGGAAGGUGGGGAUGACGUCAAAUCAUCAUGCCCCUUAUGACCUGGGCUACACACGUGCUACAAUGGACGGUACAAAGAGCUGCAAGACCGCGAGGUGGAGCUAAUCUCAUAAAACCGUUCUCAGUUCGGAUUGUAGGCUGCAAC
Molecule: ribosomal RNA, 534 nt
Filed under: uncultured bacterium
Lineage: Bacteria
Description: bacterial SSU rRNA
Rfam family: Bacterial small subunit ribosomal RNA
Source: RNAcentral